CGACCUGAGUUCAGGUGAGGCUACCCGCUGACUAAUAA
This 38-nucleotide ribosomal RNA is filed under the name Ulva prolifera. Its description in RNAcentral is "partial 28S ribosomal RNA". The record is from RNAcentral. Lineage: Eukaryota; Viridiplantae; Chlorophyta; Ulvophyceae; Ulvales; Ulvaceae.